Molecule: ribosomal RNA, 226 nt
Filed under: uncultured bacterium
Lineage: Bacteria
Description: partial 16S ribosomal RNA
Rfam family: Bacterial small subunit ribosomal RNA
Source: RNAcentral
GCGUUGUCCGGAAUUACUGGGUGUAAAGCGCGUGUAGGUGGCAGGCCAAGUCUGUCGUGAAAGUGCCCGGCUCAACUGGGCAAGGUCGAUGGAAACUGGUCAGCUGGAGGACGGUAGAGGCGAGUGGAAUUCCCGGUGUAGUGGUGAAAUGCGUAGAGAUCGGGAGGAACACCAGUGGCGAAGGCGGCUCGCUGGGCCGGUCCUGACACUGAGACGCGAAGGCGUG